Molecule: ribosomal RNA, 253 nt
Filed under: uncultured bacterium
Lineage: Bacteria
Description: partial 16S ribosomal RNA
Rfam family: Bacterial small subunit ribosomal RNA
Source: RNAcentral
UACGGGGGGGGUAAGCGUUGUUCGGAAUUACUGGGCGUAAAGGGCUCGUAGGCGGCCAACUAAGUCACACGUGAAAUCCCUCAGCUUAACUGGGGAACUGCGUGUGAUACUGGAUGGCUUGGAUCCGGGAGAGGGAUGCGGAAUUCCAGGUGUAGCGGUGAAAUGCGUAGAUAUCUGGAGGAACACCGGUGGCGAAGGCGGCAUCCUGGACCGGUAUUGACGCUGAGGAGCGAAAGCCAGGGGAGCAAACGGG